Molecule: non-coding RNA, 452 nt
Organism: Puntigrus tetrazona (Sumatra barb)
Lineage: Eukaryota; Metazoa; Chordata; Actinopteri; Cypriniformes; Cyprinidae
Source: the annotation of a RefSeq genome assembly
CCCACCCACAUUUAUAAAUAUAUUUGAGAGAUUUGCUUUCAACUUAAAAUCAUUAAGCAUCCAGUAUAAUAGGCCUAUAGUUCAUUAAUAUAUUUUUCAUCAUGGAGAGAUGUGCUCUACUAAUUCUUAUAACAGUACCAGGUAUAUUUGCUGACAGCAUUGAAUCAAGAGACAAGGACAAUGUAAUUCGUAAAGAAGGAGAGUCUGUGACACUGAGCUGCACUUAUGAUACAAGCAGCAACUAUAUUUUGCUUUACUGGUACAGACAGUAUCCUGAUAGAGAACCACAGUUUAUACUGAGAAAAGGUGCUCGAUCAUACAGCAGCUCUGAUAUACCAGACCGUCGCUUUCAGUCGUCUACAUCCCAAACAUCCACUGAUCUCACUAUUAAGAGUGUCACUCUGUCAGAUUCAGCUCUCUAUUACUGUGCUCUGAGAGUAGGAGCCCAGUGA